This 89-nucleotide non-coding RNA is filed under the name unclassified sequences. The record is from RNAcentral.
GGGCGGAACAAUAGCCGCCCGGCAACUAAAACGGCCACACCGUGAACGGGUGCGAGUGUCCCAAGCCACUAUAAACCGUUGAGGGGUUG